Lacerta agilis (Sand lizard) is the source of this 482-nucleotide long non-coding RNA. RefSeq lists it as uncharacterized. The transcript is spliced from 4 exons. The record is from RefSeq and is a predicted model, not a curated record. Lineage: Eukaryota; Metazoa; Chordata; Lepidosauria; Squamata; Lacertidae.
GUUACAGAAUCAGCUAGAAGAAGGAGGCAGCAGAUGACCAGGACAGGUGAAGAAGAAGGGAGACCUGAGAAGCAAGGUUGAAUCAGCACACAAAACUAAGCAAUAAGGCUUGGAACCUGGGUGCCUGCAGGUGCACGUUCUUCCAUAUUCUCCUCCCCAAAUGCCUCUGGUCGUGAUCUGAAACCCUGCACCAGAACUGUCCACUCUGUGAAGAUGCCAGAGUGUGGGAUUUGUUACCUGUUACACCCAAGAAAUCAAAAAUUCAUUGAAUGAAAGAACCUAUCACCUGUGCGUAAGAACUCCACAGCAGCAGUUUGCCAUAUGCAACAGCAAGAGAAUGGAGAGAACUAAGAAAUAAGACUGUACAUUGUGUGUGUCUGCUGAGAAUGCCAUGCAAAAUCAAAUCUACCUACACACAGAAGACUGGCACAAAGAGGACCGCUUGGUCAGUUUUUUAUUUCAAUAAGACCAAAGGUGCAGGU